RNAcentral lists this transfer RNA (73 nucleotides) under Opisthorchis viverrini. It matches the Rfam family "tRNA". From Rfam's summary of the family: Transfer RNA (tRNA) molecules are approximately 80 nucleotides in length. Their secondary structure includes four short double-helical elements and three loops (D, anti-codon, and T loops). The record is from Rfam by way of RNAcentral. Lineage: Eukaryota; Metazoa; Platyhelminthes; Trematoda; Opisthorchiida; Opisthorchiidae.
GGCGAAGUGGCUCAGUGGUCAGAGCGCGAAUUUAAUGACCGGAAAGUCCGUGGUUCGAAUCCGACCUCCGCCU